This 700-nucleotide ribosomal RNA is filed under the name Actinomycetes bacterium. RNAcentral describes it as "bacterial SSU rRNA". It matches the Rfam family "Bacterial small subunit ribosomal RNA", at positions 128 to 840 of the family's 1533-position model. Lineage: Bacteria; Bacillati; Actinomycetota; Actinomycetes. The record is from RNAcentral.
GCCCCCGACUCUGGGAUAAGCCCGGGAAACUGGGUCUAAUACCGGAUAUGACCUCGCACCGCAUGGUGCGGGGUGGAAAGAUUUAUCGGUGGGGGAUGGACUCGCGGCCUAUCAGCUUGUUGGUGAGGUAAUGGCUCACCAAGGCGACGACGGGUAGCCGGCCUGAGAGGGUGACCGGCCACACUGGGACUGAGACACGGCCCAGACUCCUACGGGAGGCAGCAGUGGGGAAUAUUGCACAAUGGGCGCAAGCCUGAUGCAGCGACGCCGCGUGAGGGAUGACGGCCUUCGGGUUGUAAACCUCUUUCAGUAGGGAAGAAGCGAAAGUGACGGUACCUGCAGAAGAAGCGCCGGCUAACUACGUGCCAGCAGCCGCGGUAAUACGUAGGGCGCAAGCGUUAUCCGGAUUUAUUGGGCGUAAAGAGCUCGUAGGCGGUUUGUCGCGUCUGCCGUGAAAGUCCGAGGCUCAACCUCGGAUCUGCGGUGGGUACGGGCAGACUAGAGUGAUGUAGGGGAGACUGGAAUUCCUGGUGUAGCGGUGAAAUGCGCAGAUAUCAGGAGGAACACCGAUGGCGAAGGCAGGUCUCUGGGCAUUUACUGACGCUGAGGAGCGAAAGCAUGGGGAGCGAACAGGAUUAGAUACCCUGGUAGUCCAUGCCGUAAACGUUGGGCACUAGGUGUGGGGGACAUUCCACGUUUU